This 517-nucleotide ribosomal RNA is filed under the name uncultured bacterium. Its description in RNAcentral is "partial 16S ribosomal RNA". It matches the Rfam family "Bacterial small subunit ribosomal RNA", at positions 355 to 863 of the family's 1533-position model. The record is from RNAcentral.
UGGGGAAUUUUGGACAAUGGGCGAAAGCCUGAUCCAGCAAUGCCGCGUGUGUGAAGAAGGCCUUCGGGUUGUAAAGCACUUUUGUCCGGAAAGAAAUCCUUGGCUCUAAUACAGUCGGGGGAUGACGGUACCGGAAGAAUAAGCACCGGCUAACUACGUGCCAGCAGCCGCGGUAAUACGUAGGGUGCAAGCGUUAAUCGGAAUUACUGGGCGUAAAGCGUGCGCAGGCGGUUUGCUAAGACCGAUGUGAAAUCCCCGGGCUCAACCUGGGAACCGCAUUGGUGACUGGCAGGCUAGAGUAUGGCAGAGGGGGGCUAGAAUUCCACGUGUAGCAGUGAAAUGCGUAGAGAUGUGGAGGAAUACCGAUGGCGAAGGCAGCCCCCUGGGCCAAUACUGACGCUCAUGCACGAAAGCGUGGGGAGCAAACAGGAUUAGAUACCCUGGUAGUCCACGCCCUAAACGAUGUCAACUAGUUGUUGGGGAUUCAUUUCCUUAGUAACGUAGCUAACCGCGUGAA